GAAAUGUGAUAAGUAGUGUGAAUUGCAGAAUUCAGUGAAUCAUCGAAUCUUUGAACGCACAUUGCGCCCCUUGGUAUUCCAUGGGGCAUGCCUGUUCGAGCGUCAUUUGUACCCUCAGGCUCUGCUUGGUGUUGGGUGUUUGUCCCCGUCUCCGCGCGUGGACUCGCCCCAAAGUGAUUGGCAGCCGGCGUACUGGUCCCGGAGCGCAGCACAUGUCGCGCAAACGAGUGCCUUGGUACGGCGGCGUCCAUAAGCCCCUCUCUCACGCUCUUGACCUCGGAUCAGGUAGGGAUACCCGCUGAACUUAAGC
This 310-nucleotide unclassified non-coding RNA is filed under the name plant metagenome. RNAcentral's name for it is "partial contains 5.8S ribosomal RNA, internal transcribed spacer 2, and large subunit ribosomal RNA". The stretch from base 1 to 105 matches the Rfam family "5.8S ribosomal RNA", at positions 50 to 154 of the family's 154-position model. The record is from RNAcentral.